Plectropomus leopardus (leopard coralgrouper) is the source of this 621-nucleotide long non-coding RNA. RefSeq lists it as uncharacterized. The record is from RefSeq and is a predicted model, not a curated record. NCBI's taxonomy places the organism in Eukaryota, Metazoa, Chordata, Actinopteri, Perciformes, Serranidae.
AAGAGGACAUUCUGUGGAGCAGUAGGUGCCAAUCUGUCGCUCUGUGGAGAUGGGCCAGAAUCAGCUCAUGUUAAGCUGCUGCCGCUCCUCCUGCAGCCUCCUCCAUCUAUCUGAUAGGUGGAAUGAUUAAUUUCUACGCACAGUCAUUGAUGUUCACAGGAUAUUCCAUAGCUUGCUUUGCAUAACAACAUGAUGGACUCCGUGGAAAAAAACACACUCUGUGUACGGAUAUAAGAAAAAAGGUGAAAAGGCCUGUCAUGAAAAGUACUCCCAGAACACACCCCUUUAACAUCAUCCGUGCUUCCUCCCUUCAGUCAGACGUGAAAUGUUUCCAGUAACUCAACGACUCUGAGAGGCAGCAGGUGCUUGACAGGAAUCAAAUCGGUCCCCGUAAUCACAGCACUCUAAUUGAUGGCUCAUUUUCCACAGUGGUGGAGAAAUCUAAUUACAGAUCAUCAGAUCAGCAAACAUGGUUGGAGCUCUAAGGCACCAGGAGUGACACGACAGUCAGACCCAAUGCAGCGAAAUUACGGUCAAUCUUACAGCUGUGGUUUUAAGAUGCCUAAUGCAAGAUGAUUUAAAAGUGAAAAAAAUCGAUUUAUUGGUAUUUUCUUUUUUAAA